Molecule: ribosomal RNA, 253 nt
Filed under: uncultured bacterium
Lineage: Bacteria
Description: partial 16S ribosomal RNA
Rfam family: Bacterial small subunit ribosomal RNA
Source: RNAcentral
UACGUAGGGUGCGAGCGUUAAUCGGAAUUACUGGGCGUAAAGCGUGCGCAGGCGGUUCGUCGUGUCCGAUGUGAAAGCCCCGGGCUCAACCUGGGAAUGGCAUUGGAAACUGGCGGACUCGAGUGUGGCAGAGGGGGGUGGAAUUCCGCGUGUAGCAGUGAAAUGCGUAGAUAUUGGAAAGACCACCAAUGGCGAAGGCACUCUACUGGGCCAUUACUGACACUGAGAGACGAAAGCUAGGGUAGCGAAUGGG